Molecule: long non-coding RNA, 668 nt
Filed under: Homo sapiens (human)
Lineage: Eukaryota; Metazoa; Chordata; Mammalia; Primates; Hominidae
Description: HSALNT0155719
Source: RNAcentral
GAAGCCCCUGAGUUCAGGGCCCUGGUCUCCUGCGGGGUUCCCCUUCGCUCCUAAAAAGCGCCAGUCCAGGACAGCUCGGAGCUGCGCGUCGGACCACCUAGCAGGCGCUCAGCAGCGGCUGCCCAUCCGGCGGCCACCCAUCCAGGAGAGCAGGGGCUCUGUCCAAGGUCUAAUGCGCCCCCAGCCCCACCCCCAGCCUGGUCUGGCAGAGACGGUUCUCAGUCUAUUGGGUAAAUACAUAGCCAGCUUCUCACCCCCAAAGCCCAGCCUGUCUUUCCCAAUGAACCUCACACCCUAAAGUGGGAGUGUGUGGCCAUUUUUCCCAUACAGCCUGCCUUCCAUUCACCCCAGAGUUCUCCAAGCACCCAGAAUACCCCUGCCUCUGUCCUGGCACACCAAGCUGCCUUGCUCUGAAAUGCUCUCCUGUCCUCACAAUCUCUGGGUGGCCUUGCCACGUGCCCGGCUGAAUUGUGAAUAUCGGUUUGUCUGAGUCUCCUCCCUAGGACAGGAAACGGGUCCUACGGAUCUUUGUGCCUCCAGGGCCUAGUACAGUGCCCUCCCCCCAACCAAUCAUUAAAUAUCUGUGGGUGGUUGCACGCAUGCCCGGUGACUUUAAAAUGAGCCACAUAGACUUCUUGGAGUUUCUUAUAAAAGUUGAAAGAAUGUUG